Molecule: long non-coding RNA, 2355 nt
Organism: Homo sapiens (human)
Lineage: Eukaryota; Metazoa; Chordata; Mammalia; Primates; Hominidae
Gene: BHLHE40-AS1
Product: BHLHE40 antisense RNA 1
Source: Ensembl
CUGCAGGAAGAGAGACCAGGAAGGGUCGUGACUGCUUGCGCACGGCUGCAGGCGUUCUGCCGGGCAAGAACCUCCCGGUGCGCCCGGAGCUGCUCCAAGUUGAGAGUGGCGCAUAACAUGGGGCUGCAGUUGAGGCUUGAAGGGCCAAGGAGUGCCAACUUACCCUGAUUUCUUUGCAAGUUUCAUUAAGCUCUUCAGCAUCUGAGAAAGGAUUAGAAUGUUUAUUCACACUCUCCAAAUUCCAGUUUAUCAGUUCAUUGAUUCAUCAACGUUGAUUAAGCACUUACUAUGUGCUGAGAAUACAAAGGGUUGCAGAAAAGGAAGAAGAAUCAGCAGAGAGCAUUUGUGGCCAGCAAAGCUUAAAAUAUUUCCUAACCGAUCCUUUGCAAAAAAAGUUCACCCACUCCUGUAGUCAGCAGCUCCCCUACUGUGCGCAGUCAGUGUGCCAUCUCAGACUAGCAAAGAUUUGUGCUUGGAUCAUCUACACUUCCCUGAAUGUUGAAGAAGAUAUGCUAUCCAUGCAAUCCUUGUCGACUGCUUGAUUAAAAAGUGGAUAAACUGUCUUCAGGCCCUUGGAGUAUGGUGUCUGUGUGAAGAAGGGAAUGAGGCAGAAGUAGCAGUCAGUGGUGGCUGAAGUAGGAGAAAGUGCUUGCUAAUGAAAUCUUGAUUUUUCUGUGGCUUUUCUGUGCAAUUGGGUGGCUAAGUAGGAAAGCCAUUGGAGCUUCACUGUAUCAAUUCUGCCUUUCUUGUUUUUUGGAACUCCAAUUCACCAAGGCUCCCUGCCACCCUAUCCAUCUAUAACUUUUCAUCACUUUUUCCUCAAAGUAAGAAGUGUGUCCCAGAAAAUGUGCCUUUGUGACUCAGCAACAUUUCAAAUCCAUCUGAGCCUUCCCAGCGUUCCAAAAGAAAUACUGAUUUGAAUUCAGCUGCUUAAAAAACCAGUCUCUAAGCAGACAGCUUGAAACUUCCUUACAGCAAUAGUUUAGGCUUUGGAGGGGAAAUUGGUUUGUUUUUAAUUGUUUUAAUUUUUCAUUCAAUUCAUUUGCCGCCUGAUUAUAUAUGAUCUUUUGAGCCCAAUACUCUGCUAAAUUAACCUUGACUUUCUUUCUCUCUUUCUCUCUCUCUCCUUCUCUCUUUCUUCCUUUCUUUCUUUCUUUUUGACAGAGCCUUGCUCUGUCGCCCAGGCUGGAAUGCAGUGGCACAAUCUCAGCUCACUGUAAACUCCGCCUCCAAAGUUCAAGCAAUUCUCCUGCCUCAGCCUCCUGUGUAGCUGGGAUUACACACGCCAGCCACCAUGCCUGGCUAAUUUUUGUAUUUUUAGUAAAGAUGGAGUUUCACCCUCUUGGCCAAGCUGGUCUCGAACUCCUGACCUCAACCUUGGCCUCUCAAAGUGCUGGGAUUACAAGCAUGAGCCACCAUGCCUGGCCUUACCUUGAUUUUUUUUUUUUGAGACAGAGUCUCACUCUGUUGCUCAGGCUGGAGUGUAGUGGCUCGAUCUUGGCUCACUGCAACCUCCAUCUCCCGGGUUCAAGAGAUUCUCCUGCCUCAGCCUCCCAAGUAGCUGGGACUACAGGUGUGGGCCACCACGCCUAGCUAAUUUUUUAUAUGUUUACUAGAGACAGGGUUUCACCAUGUUGGGCAGGCUGGUCUUGAACUCCUGACCUCAGGUGAUUCACCUGCCUCGGCCUCCCAAAAUGCUGGGAUUACAGGUGUGAGCCACCACACCCGGCCCCUACCUUUGAUUUUUAAGUCAAGAGGGAACAAGUCGAAAUUUCUAUUCAGGUAAACUGUAUACCUUUGGACACUGAAUCACUUUUAGAACCCCAGUAAAAAUCAUGUAUGAAUGACCCACAAUUUCACUCCAACAGGAAGGUGUGUAUAUGUGCACAAAAACAUUAGAUUGUUCACACCGGUGCUAUUCAUAAUAGUCAAAAACUGGAAACAACUCAAACAUCCAUCAACUGUAGAAUGGAUAAAUAAAUCAUGAUAUAUUCAUACCAUGGAACAUAACAGUGACAAUAAAUGAACCACUGCUACACACAACAGAUAUGAAUUUCACAAACAGAAUGCUGAGCAACAGAAGCCAAACACAGAAGGAUACACAUUUAUAAAUCCAUUUGUAUGAAGUUCAUAAACAGACAAAAUUAGUCAGUGGAGAUUAUUCUCAUAGAAGUCUGAAGGGUAGUUGUCUUUAGGGAGGGGGAUAUAGUGACUGAGGUGGGUAUAAGGGGUUUCUGGGGUUUGGUGAUGGUACACCAGCAUAUUCACUCUGAAAACUCAUUGAGCUGUGCAAUAAUGAUUUUUCAAACUUUUAUAUGUGUAUGAUAAUGCUUCAAUAAAGCUUUGCUUAAAAAC